This 301-nucleotide ribosomal RNA is filed under the name uncultured bacterium. RNAcentral describes it as "partial 16S ribosomal RNA". It matches the Rfam family "Bacterial small subunit ribosomal RNA", at positions 509 to 807 of the family's 1533-position model. The record is from RNAcentral.
CAGCAGCCGCGGGAAUACGGAGGGGGCUAGCGUUGUUCGGAAUUACUGGGCGUAAAGCGCACGUAGGCGGCUUGGUAAGUUAGAGGUGAAAGCCUGGAGCUCAACUCCAGAAUUGCCUUUAAGACUGCCGAGCUAGCAGGUGAGAGAGGUAAGUGGAAUUCCGAGUGUAGAGGUGAAAUCCGUAGAUAUUCGGAAGAACACCAGUGGCGAAGGCGGCUUACUGGCUCAUACUGGACGCUGAGGUGCGAAAGCGUGGGGAGCAAACAGGAUUAGAUACCCGCGUAGUCCCUGUCUCUUAUAC